GUCUUUUUGAGUUAUUUUUAAAGUCUGACCUGCCCACUGAAUAUUUUUAAAUGGCCGCAGUAUUCUAACUGUGCAAAGGUAGCAUAAUCAUUAGUCUUUUAAUUGAAGGCUGGUAUGAACGGUUGGACGAAGUAUAAGCUGUUUCAUAUAAAAUUAUAUUAGAAUUUUAUAUUUUAGUUAAAAAGCUAAAAUAUAGUUAAAAGACGAGAAGACCCUAUAAAUCUUUAUAUUUAAUAUUAUUCAAAUUUUUUUGAUUUAUUUUAUUUUUAUUAUAUUAAAUAUUUUGUUGGGGUGAUAUUAAAAUUUAAAAAACUUUUAAUUGUGAAUUAAAACAUUAAUUUAUGAAUAGUUGAUCCAUUAUUAAUGAUUAUAAGAUUAAGUUACUUUAGGGAUAACAGCGUAAUUUUUUUUGAGAGUUCAUAUCGAUAAAAAAGUUUGCGACCUCGAUGUUGGAUUAAGAUAUAUAUUUAGGUGUAGCCGUUUAAAUAUUAAGUCUGUUCGACUUUUAAAUUCUUACAUGAUCUGAGUUCAA
This 532-nucleotide ribosomal RNA is filed under the name Ceratitis rubivora. RNAcentral's name for it is "partial 16S ribosomal RNA". The stretch from base 391 to 532 matches the Rfam family "Bacterial large subunit ribosomal RNA", at positions 2473 to 2614 of the family's 2925-position model. Lineage: Eukaryota; Metazoa; Arthropoda; Insecta; Diptera; Tephritidae. The record is from RNAcentral.